This 1462-nucleotide long non-coding RNA is filed under the name Sus scrofa (pig). RNAcentral's name for it is "lncRNA (ENSSSCG00015056434.1)". The record is from RNAcentral. Lineage: Eukaryota; Metazoa; Chordata; Mammalia; Artiodactyla; Suidae.
AUGUUUCUGGCGCCACCUGGCUCUCUGCUGCACCCCAGAAGUCAGAAUCUUUUGCUGUGGCCCCUGGGCUCCAAAUGUGUCUCCUCACCUCCCGGCUCACCCCAAAGUCACACUGGCUCCUCCCCAGCCCACCUGCCUCCAAAGGGGCUGGGAGGAGACCUGGCAGAAGGCGGCCUCGUGGGGGUGUUUGUUUGGCUCCCAGGGCGGCUCCACAGGACCCCUGAUCUGCAUUCGCCCCUCCUUUCCUGGAGAGAGCCCCAGCCCCCGCAGCUGCCCACGGAUGGGCCCAAGGGCCGGCUGCUGCCUGAGGAUGCUGGGGGUUGGGAUGACCCGGGGAGCACGUUCCAGUCCGCCUUCCCAGGGGCGGGGGCUGACAGGCUAACGGAAUGUGGCACGGAGUUGGGGGGGCGAGGGAUAUCCCUGCGUGCCAGUCACACCCGGCGGAGAUGCUGCCUGGCCUGACUGUCUGAGGAAAAGCGGCUCCGCCAUUCCCUAGAGGGCACCAUCCUCACUGCCUGGUUACACCCGGGGUGGCCACACUGUCUUGCACCAGGAGGCUGGUGGCACGGGGGUGUGAGGUGCGGGCCUGUGUAUACCAGGGUCUCACCCUGAAUCUGACCACACUGCUGUGAGCGGGGUCUCACCCUGUGUCUGACUACAGUGUCCAGAGGCGCGUCGGGGAAGGCCCAGGCUAGUUGUAACGCAGUCUGCCUGGUACGGGCGCCACUUCCCAAGUGGGCUUCCAUGCCCUCCUACUUCACCAGGGGGGAGAAGCAACACCAACUGUGCUGGCUGCGUGUGGUGGGGGGUAGGGAGCCGGGGGCGGGGGGAGAGGCAAGGACCCUUCUCAUCAGACAGGCCAGGAAGGUGGCCCUGCCCUGCCUCACACAGCAAGACCGGUGAGCCCAGCCAUCUUAUUCCUUUGCGGGUUUCCUUUCAUGGGUCUGCACAGCCCCGAACCAUGGGCUGGCAGUGGCCACUCCCCCAGCAGUGGAGAAGCCCACCAGCCGGCCUCUCCGCACAUUUGCUUCCAAACGCCUGCCUCGAGGGAGGGGCGCUUAUCCCACCCAGGCCAAUGACUCAGCAGGAAUCCCGCGCUUUGACUGACCUCUGACCUCUGACCAAGCCUCCAGGGCUCUCAGGACACUAGUGGGCUGCCUAACAAGGGGCCUUCACCUGCUAGUCUUUCCCAGCGCAGGUGGGGACUUUCUAAGUGACAGGGAGGAGGACGCUCUGGGGUCAGGGCGCGCGGCGGUGAACCCUGCACCAAGCACACAGAGGCGAUCGUUAGGCAGCCUGGAGGAUCAGAGGGUGUGGAUUCCGGAAGAGGGUUCAAGGGCUGGAAGCAGUGGGCUGGAGCCCAUUGGUGCACACAGCGGGGCCAAAGGGGCUUACCGCACGCCAGAGUUAGGCUGCCCGGGCCAGGCGUCCUGUCCACCCACUCCAGCCCAGGGAUCUGGGC